AACGAACGCUGGCGGCAUGCCUAACACAUGCAAGUCGAACGAGACCUUCGGGUCUAGUGGCGCACGGGUGCGUAACGCGUGGGAACCUGCCCUUAGGUUCGGAAUAACUCCCCGAAAGGGGUGCUAAUACCGGAUAAUGUCUUCGGACCAAAGAUUUAUCGCCUUUGGAUGGGCCCGCGUUGGAUUAGCUAGUUGGUAGGGUAAAAGCCUACCAAGGCGACGAUCCAUAGCUGGUCUGAGAGGAUGAUCAGCCACACUGGGACUGAGACACGGCCCAGACUCCUACGGGAGGCAGCAGCGGGGAAUAUUGGACAAUGGGCGAAAGCCUGAUCCAGCAAUGCCGCGUGAGUGAUGAAGGCCUUAGGGUUGUAAAGCGCUUUUACCCGUGAUGAUAAUGACAGUACCGGGAGAAUAAGCUCCGGCUAACUCCGUG
RNAcentral lists this ribosomal RNA (433 nucleotides) under uncultured bacterium. RNAcentral describes it as "partial 16S ribosomal RNA". It matches the Rfam family "Bacterial small subunit ribosomal RNA", at positions 29 to 507 of the family's 1533-position model. The record is from RNAcentral.